Jaculus jaculus (lesser Egyptian jerboa) is the source of this 107-nucleotide small nuclear RNA. NCBI's taxonomy places the organism in Eukaryota, Metazoa, Chordata, Mammalia, Rodentia, Dipodidae. The record is from RefSeq and is a predicted model, not a curated record.
GUGCUCUCUUCAGCAGUUCAUAUAUUAAAAUGGGAAUAACACAGAGAAGAUUAGCAUGGUCCCUGCACAAGAAUGACACACAAAUUCAUGAAGCAUUCCAUAUUUUU